ACUCUCGUGCCAUCACGACGGAGUUUA
RNAcentral lists this ribosomal RNA (27 nucleotides) under Sclerotinia sclerotiorum. RNAcentral's name for it is "partial 28S ribosomal RNA". Lineage: Eukaryota; Fungi; Ascomycota; Leotiomycetes; Helotiales; Sclerotiniaceae. The record is from RNAcentral.